UAAAAAGAGGGGGAAAUAAAAAAAUAUCGCCAGCUCACAGCGUCAAGCCCGCCAACCAGUCGCAACGCGCCACAACAUUGCAAACCAGCAAAUAGCAACGUCCGAGUGCAUUCCUCGUCAAUCCCACGCCAAGCACAAGCCUUGCCUAGCAUGUUCAUGAUCUCGUCCAUUGCCAUGUUCUUCCAUUGACCAUCAACGAUUGGGGUUUGGGUUCUCUUGUUCCCCCUCGUUGUGUUAUAUCGUCGAUAAUGCGUUUUCGUUGCUACAUCGAUUCCAUUUACCGGUACUGUCACUGCACUUUCUUCAACUCCCCUUGUCGAUGUAUCUGUUGCUGUUACUGUUGCUCUUAGGAGAUAUUGUGGUUGUCGUCGGAUUUACUUGUACAUAUAAGUUUUGUUUCUUCAAUCUGAGAAGAAUUCGACAAUUUGGGGGAUUAAGGAUCGGUUUUGUUUUGGGCUUUUGAUGGACAUAUUCCAUUCGCAAUCAAAUUUGUCUCUUGGCUUUUCUUCUCAUGCUUCGCCGCCUCAACGGACCCAGAUAACCGGCGAUUCCAUCUCUCUUCAGCUCGACUCAAGCUUUUGUGAUCCCUCGCUCCCGAUUCCUCCGGUUCCGCUUCAGUUGUUGGAGCCGCUGACGGAUAAUCACAAAGCGGAGAAUGGGAACUCGGCGGUAGAGUCCAAUGAAGAUGAAGAUAAGAAGGUCGAAGAGUUUCGUAUCCUCGGGCAUUCGAUGUGCUUGAAGAGGCGAAGAGAUAGCGAAUCAUCCUCAUCGUCUUCCAUUUCUUCCAAGUGGGUUUCGUUGGACCCCAAUCUCGAGGCGCGGAGAGCGGCUGUUCGAUCAUGGGGUAAUCAAUCCCUACAAGUUGCGGACCCUGACAUUUAUGAGAUAAUGGAGAAUGAGAAAAUAAGGCAGUAUAAAGGGAUUGAAUUGAUAGCUUCGGAGAAUUUUGUGUGUCGAUCUGUGAUGGAAGCACUUGGAAGCCAUUUGACGAAUAAAUAUUCAGAGGGAAUGCCGGGUGCGCGAUAUUAUGGAGGGAAUCAAUAUAUUGAUGCGAUUGAAACGCUCUCUUGUGAACGCGCAUUGGCAGCAUUCAAUCUGGACCCUAAAAGUUGGGGCGUGAAUGUGCAACCUUAUUCAUGUACCUCUGCGAAUUUUUCUGUAUACACGGGAUUGUUGUCGCCUGGUGAUCGUAUCAUGGGGUUGGAUACGCCAUCCGGAGGGAACACUAGUCAUGGUUACUAUACUCCAAACGGAAAGAAAGUUUCAGGGGCGUCAAUAUUCUUUGGGAGUUUACCAUACAAGGUGAAUCCUCAAACGGGUUAUAUUGAUUACGAUAAACUAGAGGAAAAGGCGCUUGAUUUUCGUCCUAAGAUACUUAUUUGUGGUGGGAGCUCAUAUCCUCGAGAGUGGGAUUAUGCCAGAUUUAGGAAUAUUGCAGAUAAAUGUGGAGCCGUGUUAAUGUGCGAUAUGGCCCAGAUUAGUGGGCUUAUUGCAACCAAGGAAUGUGUGAGUCCUUUUGACUAUUGUGAUAUUGUUACUUCAACAACUCACAAAAGUCUUCGAGGCCCCAGGGGGGGCAUAAUUUUUUAUAGGAAGGGUACCAAACCAAGGAAGAGAGGGAUACUUGUAAGUCAGGGAUAUGAAAGCGAACAAUAUGACCUUGAAGAAAAGAUAAACUUUUCUGUUUUCCCAUCCUUGCAAGGGGGCCCACACAAUAACCAUAUUGCUGCUCUUGCCAUAGCUUUAAAACAAGUGGCUACUCCUGAGUACAAGGCCUACAUGCAGCAAGUGAAGAGAAAUGCCCAAGCUUUAUCAUCUGCUUUAUUGAGAAGAAAAUGCCGCCUAGUAACACGGGGUACAGACAACCAUCUAGUACUUUGGGAUUUAAGGCCUUUAGGAUUGACAGGUAAAUUUUAUGAGAAGAUAUGCGAGAUGUGUCAUAUUACUUUGAAUAAAAUUGCUAUCUUUGGUGAUAAUGGAGCUAUAACUCCUGGAGGUGUAAGGAUAGGUACCCCUGCCAUGACUUCAAGAGGAUGUCUGGAGACUGAUUUUGAAAUGAUCGCUGAAUUUCUGUAUAGAGCUGCAAAAAUCGCCAAUAUAGUGCAGAGAGAUUAUGGGAAGUUGCAGAAGGCUGUCUUAAAAGAUCUUGAGAGCAACAAGGACGUUGUUGAGCUCCAAGCACGGGUUGAGGCCUUUGCAGCUCAAUUUGCAAUGCCAGGUUUUGACAUUUGAACAUGGAAACGUAUGGGGAUGGAGAGCUCCUUGGCAUUUUAGGCUGCUCUUAGGUUAUGAUGCAUAAUGUGGUACAGACAGUACACAGAGCAGUGUACUACUGUUGAGGAUGUUUUCAAUAAUCAAGCAUCUUUUCACCAUGGAGGAACCUUGUCUGCCGAUGGCACUGACAGCAUAUUGACUAUUUCAAAUGUUGGGAAAGGGCCUCUUGACCAACCAACCGAAGUCCAUAAUAAGAGUUGAUAUUGCAAGAGGAUUCUGAUUGGAUUCCUCAAAUCACAACAACAAGAAGAAGAAGCCUUAUACCACUAGCCCACUAGGUGAUUGGGUAUAAGAGAUGAGGUGCUGUGUUAGUAUAGGGAUGUUCCCACUUCAAUUCAAGUUCCUAAUUUGUGUGACUCUUCAUUCUAGGAUUUUGCAUUGUGAUUUUGCUUUCUUGAGCCAAUUAAUUCAGAUGCCAGAGUCACACCGUUUCAAGUUGCAAUGGUGAAUUUUGUUUGGAAGGAGCAGCCAGUGAUUUUCCUCCCUCUGUAGUCAUCAAUGAUGCAAGCAGUUCCUUCCUCCAGCCUCUACAUUUUGAGAAAUGAAAAAAGACUUGGUUGCUGCUUGGUACAUGUUUGCUGGAGUGGAUUCCAGAUUGCGAUUCUUUAGAAAUGUCAUCCCAAAGCUUGUUAAAAUUUGUUUGGUCCUUCAUACACACACACAGUGAAGAUGCUGAGGUUGUGAAUUAAUUUAAUGCAAGUCUCAUCUUAAAUAUCCUAAUUGAGCAGACUGGGUUGGACUAACCAGUGCAACUGGUCUAUAGCUCAUCGGACCCUAAAAUGUAUUAUAAGAGAAAAGGGAUCAAGAGCCAACAAAAAUGUGGUUCCAUUUCUCUAACAAACAGUUGUUCAGUUGCAAUUGAAUUACCUGUUUUCUUG
Molecule: RNA transcript, 3152 nt
Organism: Prosopis cineraria
Lineage: Eukaryota; Viridiplantae; Streptophyta; Magnoliopsida; Fabales; Fabaceae
Gene name: serine hydroxymethyltransferase 6-like
Exons: 5
Source: RefSeq, a predicted model, not a curated record